AGUCGAUCUGCCACUGAUUAAGAAAAAUUAAAGGGCUGCAGUAUUUUGACUGUACAAAGGUAGCAUAAUCAAUAGUCUCUUAAUUGGUGACUUGUAUGAAUGAUUUGAUGAAAUAUAAACUGUCUCUAAAUUAAUUAAUAAAAUUUAAUUUUUUAAUUAAAAAGUUAAAAUAAAUUUAAAAGACGAGAAGACCCUAUAGAGUUUUAUAAAUUAAUUAAUUAAAAUAAUAUAUUUAUGAAUAAAUUAAAAUUUGUAUAAUUUAUUUUAUUGGGGGGAUAGAAAAAUAAAAAAAACUUUUUUAAUUUGUUUAACAUAGAUAAUUGAUUAUAUGAUCCAAAAAUUUUGAUUAUAAGAAAAAAUUACCUUAGGGAUAACAGCGUAAUUUUUUUUUUUAGUUCAAAUAAAAAAAAGAGUUUGCGACCUCGAUGUUGGAUUAAGAUAAAAUU
RNAcentral lists this ribosomal RNA (446 nucleotides) under Ephestiodes sp. BAH_28365_B02. RNAcentral's name for it is "partial 16S ribosomal RNA". Lineage: Eukaryota; Metazoa; Arthropoda; Insecta; Lepidoptera; Pyralidae. The record is from RNAcentral.